This is a non-coding RNA of Marasmius oreades (fairy-ring Marasmius), 92 nucleotides long. The record is from the annotation of a RefSeq genome assembly. Lineage: Eukaryota; Fungi; Basidiomycota; Agaricomycetes; Agaricales; Marasmiaceae.
GCCCUCUUAGCUCAGUGGUAGAGCGCAUCACUCGUAUAUGCCUGUGAUUAGAGAUAAUGAUGAGGUCGGUUGUUCAAUCCAGCCAGGGGGCA